GAUGAACGCUGGCGGCGUGCUUAACACAUGCAAGUCGAACGGUGAACCCGGAGCUUGCUCUGUGGGAUCAGUGGCGAACGGGUGAGUAACACGUGAGCAACCUGCCCCUGACUCUGGGAUAAGCGCUGGAAACGGCGUCUAAUACUGGAUAUGUGACGUGACCGCAUGGUCUGCGUUUGGAAAGAUUUUUCGGUUGGGGAUGGGCUCGCGGCCUAUCAGCUUGUUGGUGAGGUAAUGGCUCACCAAGGCGUCGACGGGUAGCCGGCCUGAGAGGGUGACCGGCCACACUGGGAUUGAGACACGGCCCAGACUCCUACGGGAGGCAGCAGUGGGGAAUAUUGCACAAUGGGCGAAAGCCUGAUGCAGCAACGCCGCGUGAGGGAUGACGGCCUUCGGGUUGUAAACCUGUUUUAGCAGGGAAGAAGCGAAAGUGACGGUACCUGCAGAAAAAGCGCCGGCUAACUACGUG
Molecule: ribosomal RNA, 469 nt
Filed under: uncultured bacterium
Lineage: Bacteria
Description: partial 16S ribosomal RNA
Rfam family: Bacterial small subunit ribosomal RNA
Source: RNAcentral